RNAcentral lists this ribosomal RNA (396 nucleotides) under uncultured bacterium. RNAcentral describes it as "partial 16S ribosomal RNA". It matches the Rfam family "Bacterial small subunit ribosomal RNA", at positions 523 to 918 of the family's 1533-position model. The record is from RNAcentral.
AUACGUAGGUGACAAGCGUUAUCCGGAUUUACUGGGCGUAAAGGGCGUGUAGGCGGUCUUGCAAGUCAGAAGUGAAAUUCCUGAGCUCAACUCGGGCGCUGCUUCUGAAACUGCAGGACUUGAGUGCUGGAGGGGAUAGCGGAAUUCCUAGUGGAGCGGUAAAAUGCGCAGAUAUUAGGAAGAACACCGGUGGCGAAGGCGGCUAUCUGGACAGAAACUGACGCUGAGGCGCGAAAGCGUGGGGAGCAAACAGGAUUAGAUGCCCUGGUAGUCCACGCCGUAAACGAUAAUACUAGGUGUAGGGGGUAUCGACUCCCUCUGUGCCGCAGUUAACACAAUAAGUAUUCCGCCUGGGGAGUACGGCCGCAAGGUUGAAACUUAAAUGAAUUGACGGGG